GGACGCGACACAAGGACAGCUUCAGGAAGAAGACCAAAAGGAUUAAGUUGCAGGACGCGACACAAGGACAGCUUCAGGAAGAAGACCAAAAGGAUUAAGUUGCAGGACGCGACACAAGGACAGCUUCAGGAAGAAGACCAAAAGGAUUAAGUUGCAGGACGCGACAUAAGGACAGCUUCAGGAAGAAGACCAAAAGGAUUAAGUUGCAGGACGCGACACAAGGACAGCUUCAGGAAGAAGACCAAAAGGAUUAAGUUGCAGGACGUGACACAAGGACAGCUUCAGGAAGAAGACCAAAGGAUUAAGUUGC
This 310-nucleotide unclassified non-coding RNA is filed under the name Moritella viscosa. RNAcentral's name for it is "putative CsrB1 sRNA". Lineage: Bacteria; Pseudomonadati; Pseudomonadota; Gammaproteobacteria; Alteromonadales; Moritellaceae. The record is from RNAcentral.